RNAcentral lists this small RNA (93 nucleotides) under Salmonella enterica. RNAcentral's name for it is "partial RtT sRNA". It matches the Rfam family "RtT RNA", at positions 1 to 92 of the family's 130-position model. From Rfam's summary of the family: This family represents a bacterial cis-regulatory element known as RtT RNA. The exact function of RtT is unknown although it is thought that it may be involved in changing the cellular response in relation to amino acid starvation. Lineage: Bacteria; Pseudomonadati; Pseudomonadota; Gammaproteobacteria; Enterobacterales; Enterobacteriaceae. RNAcentral also lists the same sequence under 1 other name. The record is from RNAcentral.
AUAUCUCUCCGUACGGGAAGGAUGAGAAGCUUCGACCAAGGUUCGAUUCGAGCGCAGCGAGAAAGCGUUGCCGCAGGCAACGACCCGAAGGGC